This 497-nucleotide ribosomal RNA is filed under the name uncultured bacterium. Its description in RNAcentral is "partial 16S ribosomal RNA". It matches the Rfam family "Bacterial small subunit ribosomal RNA", at positions 28 to 507 of the family's 1533-position model. The record is from RNAcentral.
GAUGAACGCUGGCGGCGUGCCUAAUACAUGCAAGUCGAGCGAACAGAUAAGGAGCUUGCUCCUUUGACGUUAGCGGCGGACGGGUGAGUAACACGUGGGUAACCUACCUAUAAGACUGGAAUAACUCCGGGAAACCGGGGCUAAUGCCGGAUAACAUUUAGAACCGCAUGGUUCUAAAGUGAAAGAUGGUUUUGCUAUCACUUAUAGAUGGACCCGCGCCGUAUUAGCUAGUUGGUAAGGUAACGGCUUACCAAGGCAACGAUACGUAGCCGACCUGAGCGGGUGAUCGGCCACACUGGAACUGAGACACGGUCCAGACUCCUACGGGAGGCAGCAGUAGGGAAUCUUCCGCAAUGGGCGAAAGCCUGACGGAGCAACGCCGCGUGAGUGAUGAAGGUCUUCGGAUCGUAAAACUCUGUUAUUAGGGAAGAACAAAUGUGUAAGUAACUGUGCACGUCUUGACGGUACCUAAUCAGAAAGCCACGGCUAACUACGUG